Molecule: long non-coding RNA, 1292 nt
Organism: Apis cerana (Asiatic honeybee)
Lineage: Eukaryota; Metazoa; Arthropoda; Insecta; Hymenoptera; Apidae
Source: RefSeq, a predicted model, not a curated record
CGGUUUACGAUCUUUGCAUUUUCUAAUUUCUGUUCGUUCACACCAAGUGGCAAACAGAAAUAUUUAAAAAAAAGUAUUUAUUAUUGCCUGAUAAAGGAAACGAAUAAACAUAUCGAGUAUAACUGGAAUUGAUGUGGUAACGAUGAUUUCAAAGCAUUGAAAACAGAAUGUUAAAAUGUGUUCUCAUAAAUGUGUUUAAAAAUUUUAUUAGUAUUUCAAUAUUAGUAUACUCAAUGCAGAUAAACGAAGCAAAUUGAAAUCCUCCAUUUCCUCUCUGCCAUUUUGUUUGCCAUUUUCUCAAGAAAGAAGAAUAAAUAUUUUUUGAAAGAAUUAACAAAUAUUUUCGAAGAAAUAAGAUUCUUCCUCGAAUUAAUAAUGUGUCAACAGUCUUCAAUAUCACGCUGAGGCAGCGAAAAUAAAAUGAUAAUAGUGUUGACUUAACGAAACCUUGGCCACGAAAAAUUAAUCACUCAUGGAAAUUUCAAAUAAUUUUAGAAAAUAAUUGUUAUGAAGGAAUUUACGAGUCUCUUCUUUGUUGACUUCCAUUGUCGAAUGUUCGAGAUUCUACCAAGCAGAUCCGCGAUUAAUUCGACCGGAAGAUUCCUCCACCGUGUAGAAAAUUUUUUCUCAUCGAUGAACAUUUCGUCGUUCAACCUAGUGGCGUUCAUUGGAUCGAGAUCUGUAAUCGGCCAACCGUGAUCCACCGGUGACUUUUUUCUAAGAAACAAUGUACCUUUUGUGGACACUCGAUGAUAUCGAGAUAUUGGUAGGAGAACUUGUUUUUUGUUCCUUGGUCCUACUUCCAUUUCGAAUGUCCUUCCUUUCUGAAUUCAUUAGCAUCUUGAUUUUGGCAGUUAGUCAAAAUUUCUUCCAGGAGUACUAAUAAUUCGAUUUCAAAAUAAUCUUGAAUUUGUAAACGAAUUUUUUUUUAAUAUAUUUACAAUUUAAUUUCUAUAAAAUGAAAAAAUAUUUAAAAAAAAAUAAUUUGAAUAUUUCUUUUAUUAAUAAGAAAAUAUAAAACUUUUAUCUUUAAAUAAAUACUGGUUAAAAUAAAUAAAUUAGAGAAAAAUUGUUUGACAAAAAUAUUCACUUUUCUUAAGAAAUUCACAUUCGAAUGAAUUCCAUGUUAUCUAUGUACCUUCAAAGUAUUGAUUAAAAAUCACGUGCAUCGAUAACACAUUGAAGAGAUGAAAUAUUUAUUAUCUAAUGAUUGCACAAUAAAUAAUAUUAAAAUCAUUUUUACUUCCAUAUAAAUGUUAUUGUAACAGUAACCAAUAAAAUGUUUAUUCAAA